Molecule: small nucleolar RNA, 130 nt
Organism: Otolemur garnettii (small-eared galago)
Lineage: Eukaryota; Metazoa; Chordata; Mammalia; Primates; Galagidae
Source: Ensembl
UGUCCCUGACUGGGUAAAGUGACUUCUGGUUGGUGGCGCCCAUCUUAUAUCAGCCAGGGACAAAGUAAUCGUUUGCUUACCUCAGGCUGGCUUCUGAGCUCAUGCCCUGGUUCAUGCCUUGGACACAUGG